UGUUGUGUGUGUCUGGGUGCUGUGUGUGUCUGGGUGCUGUGUGUGUCUGGGUGCUGUGUGUGUCUGGGGUGCUGUGUGUGUCUGGGUGCUGUGUGUGUCUGGGUGCUGUGUGUGUCUGGGUGGUGUGUGUGUCUGGGGGUGCUGUGUGUGCCUGGGUGCUGUGUCUGGGUGCUGUGUGUGUCUGGGGGGUGCUGUGUCUGGGUGUUGUGUGUGUCUGGGUGCUGUGUGUGUCUGGGUGCUGUGUAUGGGUGCUGUGUGUGUCUGGGGGGUGCUGUGUCUGGGUGUUGUGUGUGUCUGGGUGCUGUGUGUGUCUGUGGGUGCUGUGUGUGUCUGGGGGUGCUGUGUAUGGGUGCUGUGUGUGUCUGGGGGUGCUGUGUAUGG
This is a non-coding RNA of Pelobates cultripes (western spadefoot toad), 381 nucleotides long. Lineage: Eukaryota; Metazoa; Chordata; Amphibia; Anura; Pelobatidae. The record is from the annotation of a GenBank genome assembly.